UAGAAAUCUAGAAUUUGGAAAUCGUUUUUCAUGAAACACAGCCUCCAUGAAGAUUAAGCCGCUGGUGCUACUGGCCAGUAUGUGCCUCUUGCGUGCGCCUGUGACUGUUUGCGUGGCUGAGGACAUCAUUCUCCAGUGGUCUGGAGUCUUGAUUGGCGGUAUGGAGAGCCACCUGGAACGUUGCACGUAGGAGGCAAGCCGUGUAUUGGCUUGGCCAAGCGUGGUUGCUGGCGUCGGCCGGUGCUGUUGCUAGCCUUGCCGUAGUCGGAGAUGCUCGGUGCUUGGCUCUCCAAGGGCUGUUGGUUUACGUUCCUAAGGGUGAAGGGCUACUGGUUCAUCGUGAACCAUGAGGAGGAGGAAGAAUGCCAUCUCAUGGCUGCCCUUAGUUUUCGAAGAUAUUAUUAAACUGCCAUUAUGAUGCCCCUGGUCUUAAUUUUUGCAAUAUUUAUUAUUAUGCCAUCGUUUUUGUUUUGCCUUGGAUUUUCUAUGAAAUUCACUAAAAUGCCAUUUGACUUGUGUUUUUUGACUGAAUAAAAUUACAGAUUUAAUUGUAAUUCAAAUAAAAUUAUGAUUUUAAUACCACUUAAAUUAGAAAUCAGAUUAAAUUGUUAAUUCAAUUUAAAUUUGUAAUUUUAAUUCUAGUAAAAAAGGGGUAUUAGUGAAAAAA
This 667-nucleotide unclassified non-coding RNA is filed under the name Hevea brasiliensis (rubber tree). The record is from RNAcentral. Lineage: Eukaryota; Viridiplantae; Streptophyta; Magnoliopsida; Malpighiales; Euphorbiaceae.